RNAcentral lists this transfer RNA (72 nucleotides) under Lusitaniella coriacea LEGE 07157. RNAcentral's name for it is "Leptolyngbya mycoidea LEGE 07157 tRNA". It matches the Rfam family "tRNA". Rfam says of the family: Transfer RNA (tRNA) molecules are approximately 80 nucleotides in length. Their secondary structure includes four short double-helical elements and three loops (D, anti-codon, and T loops). Further hydrogen bonds mediate the characteristic L-shaped molecular structure. tRNAs have two regions of fundamental functional importance: the anti-codon, which is responsible for specific mRNA codon recognition, and the 3' end, to which the tRNAs corresponding amino acid is attached (by aminoacyl-tRNA synthetases). tRNAs cope with the degeneracy of the genetic code in two manners: having more than one tRNA (with a specific anti-codon) for a particular amino acid; and 'wobble' base-pairing, i.e. permitting non-standard base-pairing at the 3rd anti-codon position. The record is from Rfam by way of RNAcentral. Lineage: Bacteria; Bacillati; Cyanobacteriota; Cyanophyceae; Spirulinales; Lusitaniellaceae.
GCAGGUGUGAUGUAAUCGGCAACAUGAGGCACUUGUAAUGCCUUCUUGCGAGUUCAACUCUCGCCAUCUGCU